UGGAAAAACUCCCGUGGAUUUUUUAUUCAUGAUUAUGAUGAUUAAUAAGUGAACAAGAAGUCCAGCAAACUUGGGAGCUCCAGCAACACAACUUAAACGAGGCUAGAAGUGUAUCUGUAUCUUUCUACAAAUAUUUUUUGUUAGCCAAAAUAAAGAUGACUUUUAAAUGGAAUCGGGAACACGUAGAAUAAUUAAUAACAUCUAUACAAGAAAAUUCUUGUAUUUAUGUGAGGUCCACGGAAUACAUGGACAGAAUAAAGAAGGCACAAACGUUCAAUUCCAUAUUAGAAGAUAUGAAGAAAAUGGAAUUACGGUGGAAGAAAUAAAACGGAAGUGGAAAAAUUUUCGUACGCAGUAUAUACAGGAACUGCGCGCAAUGAAUUCAUCCAAAAAAAGUGGAUCUGGAGCGACCGACAUUUACACUCCAAAGCUAUGGUGUUUUGAAAAAUUGGAUUUUCUAAGAACACACAGUGAAUCAAGGAAAAGUGCAGACAACAUCCAGGAGGUGAUUACGGAGGAUGAAUUGAAUCUUCCCAGCUCCUCAGGAAGUUGCACUACCUCUAAAACCAGUUCAGACGAGCCUCCCGCUAAUAAAAGGAACAAGAUAACGGAUGCAGUUAAGGAUUUUUCUAAUCAUUUGGAAUCUUUUAAAAAUAUUUUAAUUCAAAAGAAAUCCGAAAAAAUAUGCUACAGCUUGCGAUGUCCAAUGUCUCAUGCAGAAGCUGACAAAUCAGAGCACUUUAUCCUCAAAAGACAUACUAGAGCAAUCUAUGGAAGGAAUAUUUUCUGAAUAUGAUGUUGACACUUUCUAAAUAACAUUAACAUUUUUUAUACUUAUUUCUUAAUAUUAAAAUUGUUAAAUAUUUUUUGUUUGUUUUUUAUAUACUAAAAGAGUUUGUUUAAUGCAUUUGUUUACAUUUUUAAACAUUUUAAAAAAUUGACCAAAACAAAUUAUAUUAAAACCACUUUGUAUUCAGUAUUAGUUUUUAUUUUAUUUUUUGGUUUCUUAAAAUUAUAUUUUUUUUUUGUUAAUUCUUGACCCGAAAUUUGUUUUAUUUUAAUAAUC
Molecule: long non-coding RNA, 1066 nt
Organism: Calliphora vicina (urban bluebottle blowfly)
Lineage: Eukaryota; Metazoa; Arthropoda; Insecta; Diptera; Calliphoridae
Exons: 4
Source: RefSeq, a predicted model, not a curated record